AAAUAUUCUUACAAUAUAUUGCAAAACUGUGACAAUUUUCUAAGAGCUAGACUUGAGCUUUCCCUCUUAUAGAUCGUUCUGAAUGUAAAUAACCUUUAUAACAUCCUAUAGAAUCAUCAACCGAUAUAACAUUUGCAUAGUGGUUUAUCUUAGUAUAACUAUAAGCUCUAUUCAAUACCAGUAAGGUUGUUGGUGAACUCUCAGGAAACGUAUCUCAUCGACUUCUGCUUUAUUUGAAGGUUCGCGGCUAUUGCUUCUAAGAUCAUCCAAUUCUACUUUGUUUCCAAUAUUUGAAGCUCCUGACAAAUGUGACCAUGUCCUUGUUUUCCUCUGGUUCAUCUUUGCUUUGCAUUCAUCAAAUGCCGAGUACAUUUUGUAAAUGGUCACCCACAUGUUGUAGUUAGAUCCAUGUUAAAUUAUGGUUUGUUGUAUAAAGAACCCAUGUUUUUUUCCCCUUUCUCUCUCUCUUGUAAUUUACUUUUUUCCUUCAUGGGUUUUAGCAGAUGUUUGUAUUGAAUCAUUAUGAAUUGGUUUAUUUUUUUAGUCAUUUUUGAGUUUCUUCAGUAGCUGUUGUGUUGUAAGCAUGUGCAGUUUUCCAAAUGUAAGGCACUGUUGUGUAUUUAAUUUGUAAACGUCAAACAUGGGCUACAUUUUACAUCGGCAACCACAUCGAUAUUGUCAUGUUCAUACUCUUUCCUUCAAUGCUUAUUCUUUAUGCAAAUUUUGCAUUAUUUUCAAUGUCAUUGAUUUUUCCACAUAAACCCCAUCCAUAGCGUCAGGAUUUAGGUACACGCUGGUUACGAUCAUGCUUGUCAGCUAAAUUUAAAAAAAAUUAUUAUUAUUACAACAAGACCAAAAUCUCAAUCAUUUGCAAUUAAAAUAUGACUGUUGAGGCAAAUUUAGCUGCUACCCUCAAAUGAAUUUAAGCCCUAACGCACAACUUUCAGUAAACACUCUCUCGUGAGCAGAAUUGAUGCCUUAUCCUCUGUUAUGUUUUUUCUCUACACAAGUAAAGCUAUUGAGUCAAACAUAGAGAAGCAGAAUACAAAAUGUAAAGGAAAAAUAUGUUGUCCAGUAGAGUGAUUAUCAGUGCAUGCAGCAAUGUGAGAAUCUUAUGAGGGCCAGUGUUGUUCUGGUCUCGAUACUAACACGGGUUUUUGUGAUGUUCCCUCUGUCCUCAGUAAUCACAUCAUGGUGCUAUAUAUAUAUAUUUGAUAACUCAUUCGUUAGGUCUAUUAAAAGAAGAAUUAAGUCUGUAAUUAUAAGUUGGAGAGCUGGUGAUUAUAACUUCAAAUCUGUAUUUUGGAUACAAGUAGCCGAAAUCAUUUGUUAUAACGAUGAAAAAAAAAA
Molecule: long non-coding RNA, 1350 nt
Organism: Sinocyclocheilus grahami
Lineage: Eukaryota; Metazoa; Chordata; Actinopteri; Cypriniformes; Cyprinidae
Exons: 2
Source: RefSeq, a predicted model, not a curated record